This 916-nucleotide long non-coding RNA is filed under the name Prunus dulcis (almond). RNAcentral's name for it is "sRNA ncRNA". The record is from RNAcentral. Lineage: Eukaryota; Viridiplantae; Streptophyta; Magnoliopsida; Rosales; Rosaceae.
CCAGUGGCCAGUGGCGUUGGCCUUUUGAAAAUAUUCUGUUUAAAAGAGAAAUGGGUAUAAAAGGUAUCUGGUGAAAAUAGCAACACUCUGUUACCAAACACAAACUCCAAUAGUUUCCAAACAAACAAGUCAUGAACGUUAAUUACUGACAUUAACUACAUCAAUUCGGAAAUUUCAACCCUAAUCAAGCAUUCCCCCCUCACCUGCUCUCCGCAGGAUGAUAAUAAUAAGGGGAUUACAUUAGGGUUUAUUUCACAUAAAGCUAGAGUUGAGAAAUAUUUACAGAGCAGAGCAACACAUGAACAUACAUGACAAGCUUCAAUGCUUGAUCAUGAUGAUUAGGAGGAAGAAGUGGCAAAGGGUUUAACCAUGUCAGAAACAAUCUUCUUCAUCACAGCACCUCGAGGCGGCACAGGUGCCCUCACGCUAGCCGGGGCCUGGCUAGAUCUGCCUCCACUUGAUGAGCGUCCACUUGAGCCUCCCCAUCAUUCAUCUUCACUCACCGCUUAAGCUCAGCUUCAAGUCCCAGUAGGAAGAUGGGCCAAGAAGAAGAGAAUGGAAACAAUGCAGACAAAUAUGUUUUUAUCACACAAUAAAUAUACACACAACCAACCAGGGCCCCGAUCUUUCUUGGACAUUAUUGGAUGUCUUAUUUUAAUAAUAUUAUAUGGAGCAAUAUUACAAAGUGGGCACGCUCUCAGCUUCUCACCGUGGAAAUAACCAUCAAGGCCUCUGAAUAAUUCGGCAACCGCGUCACCCUGUGUACGUCACCAUCGGCAGUCGAAAUCUGUGGGCUGGUUAAAAUCUUAUCUUCAUCGAUUCAUAGGGACCACGGCGGAUUUAAUUAAGAACCAUUGAUGUUGUUUUGUGGUUCAUAAUCUCACAUGAUAAAUGGAAUGCGGUUGGCUGGCUUGAU